RNAcentral lists this ribosomal RNA (665 nucleotides) under uncultured Micromonosporaceae bacterium. RNAcentral's name for it is "bacterial SSU rRNA". It matches the Rfam family "Bacterial small subunit ribosomal RNA", at positions 136 to 816 of the family's 1533-position model. The record is from RNAcentral. Lineage: Bacteria; Bacillati; Actinomycetota; Actinomycetes; Micromonosporales; Micromonosporaceae.
CUUUGGGAUAACCCUCGGAAACGGGGGCUAAUACCGGAUAUGACUUCUGCCGGCAUCGGUGGUUGUGGAAAGUUUUUCGGUUGGGGAUGGGCUCGCGGCCUAUCAGCUUGUUGGUGGGGUGAUGGCCUACCAAGGCGACGACGGGUAGCCGGCCUGAGAGGGCGACCGGCCACACUGGGACUGAGACACGGCCCAGACUCCUACGGGAGGCAGCAGUGGGGAAUAUUGCACAAUGGGCGCAAGCCUGAUGCAGCGACGCCGCGUGAGGGAUGACGGCCUUCGGGUUGUAAACCUCUUUCAGCACCGACGAAGCGAGAGUGACGGUAGGUGCAGAAGAAGCGCCGGCCAACUACGUGCCAGCAGCCGCGGUAAGACGUAGGGCGCAAGCGUUGUCCGGAUUUAUUGGGCGUAAAGAGCUCGUAGGCGGCUUGUCGCGUCGACUGUGAAGACCUGCGGCUCAACCGUGGGCUUGCAGUCGAUACGGGCAGGCUAGAGUUCGGUAGGGGAGACUGGAAUUCCUGGUGUAGCGGUGAAAUGCGCAGAUAUCAGGAGGAACACCGGUGGCGAAGGCGGGUCUCUGGGCCGAUACUGACGCUGAGGAGCGAAAGCGUGGGGAGCGAACAGGAUUAGAUACCCUGGUAGUCCACGCUGUAAACGUUGGGCGC